Patiria miniata (bat star) is the source of this 215-nucleotide long non-coding RNA. RefSeq lists it as uncharacterized. Lineage: Eukaryota; Metazoa; Echinodermata; Asteroidea; Valvatida; Asterinidae. The record is from RefSeq and is a predicted model, not a curated record. The transcript has 3 exons.
UCAAGGAGCUCUCCAAACCCUGGAUGCUGGAUGAGGAAGCAGCCUGGAGACCACGGAGAAGUUUCCUUGGAAGAUCAUCAAGGAACAAGUCACCACUCUCAAAGAGAAGACCAACAGAGAGAUGCAGAUCCGUGAAUUGCUCCUCCAACAUUCCCAGGAGUCUCAGCUCAUUGUCAUGAGUCUACCUAUUCCCAGGAAGCGUACUUGUUCAGCCU